GGAUGUGAGGGCAAUCUGGCUGUGACAUCUGUCACCCCGUUGAUUGCCAGGGUUGAUUCAGCUGAUCUGGCUGGCUAGGUGGGUGUCUCCUUCCUUCCUCACCACUCCAUAUGCGUCCCUCCUGAAGCUGCAUGCUCAGUCGAAGAAGACAACCAUCCCCAAUAGAGGCGGACCGUAUUUCUCCGUCAAGGGUAUACGAGUAGCUGCGCUCCCCUGCUAGAACCUCCAAACAAGCUCCCAACAAAGGUGUGACCUGUAUUCUAACUAUGUAGUUGAAAUUCAACUUCCCUUUCUU
Camelus ferus (Wild Bactrian camel) is the source of this 295-nucleotide non-coding RNA. Lineage: Eukaryota; Metazoa; Chordata; Mammalia; Artiodactyla; Camelidae. The record is from Rfam.